ACCUGGCGAUCAGGACCCAGCCAGCCACCUAGAUGCCAUAAGACACAUGUGCACCAGAAGAUGGGAGAAGAAACAAAGCUCAAAAAUCAGACCCUGCAAUAGCAUGAGAAUGAGGCAUUCCCCAUGAUAAGUGGACAAAGAAUCCAGGAAGAAAAAAUCCUGGCCUAACUUACAUUUUGCUGGCACCAGUUAGAAUGAAAUUCUGCCACAUGACAGUUCUAUCAGGACUGAAGAGGAUGCUAAAGAGAAAUCGGGUGGUGAUGUAAAGAAGAAAAAAAAGGAAGGUUGAUAUUCUCGUCUUACAAAGUUAAGUGAAGAGCAAAGAGACACUAUUUCUGGUGAAUGGAUAUUGCAAUAAAAUCAUGUUACUGUAAAUAACAAAGGUAAAGAAUUAGGACACACGCAGAGGGAAGACCAUGUGAAGAUACAGAAAGAGGACGGUGUCUAUGAGCCCAGGAGAAAGGGCUCCGAAGAAUUCAACCCUGCCAAAACCUUGAUCUUGUACUUAUAGCUUCCAGAAUUGAGAAAAUAUUAAUAACUUCCUGUUGUUUAAGCCACUACAGCUGUGAUAUUUCAUUAUGGCAACCUUAGCAGACUAAUAUACUAAUAGAAAAGUAUGCAGAUGAGUGUUGAUGGGGGCUUUGGCUUGUGGUUGAGGCCAGAAGUAACGAGAAGAGAUUGGUCUGGGGAAAGGUUUCUAAGGUCAAGCCAGCUGAUCUUGU
This is a non-coding RNA of Microcebus murinus (gray mouse lemur), 722 nucleotides long. NCBI's taxonomy places the organism in Eukaryota, Metazoa, Chordata, Mammalia, Primates, Cheirogaleidae. The record is from RefSeq and is a predicted model, not a curated record.